AAGAAGGAAAAGUCCAGAAGGAAAAACAGCCAGAAAAAGAAGAGAGAGAGGAGAGAGGAUAAACAGAGCAAGACGAGGCCAGGCGGGAAGAGAUGCAGCCAAGAGCAGCACCGAAGAGGAGAAGCAGAGGCCAGAGGGCCUGGAGCAGGUGAGAAAACCAGAAAGAAGUAGUCUCAUACCUGGAAUUUCAUCCAGUAGCUGGAGUACCUGUCCUAUGUGGUAGAGGCUGUCCAGCCAUGCACCCCCUCUCUGGAUUUGGUACCCAGAGUCAAGAUCCCCAGGAGUAGGUGUGAGUGCUGACUCAUGUUGCACUGAACAUCCCAUCAUCAAAUCCCAGCUCCAUCUGCUCAUCCUGGUCCAAAGUGGACGAUAAUCCCAUUGUUAAGACAUGUCUCAUUAAGACUUCUCUAAGAUGGAGCCAGCAAACAGCCCAGUAGCAUCGAGGCUGCUGCCUGGGAAAGAGUUCCCUCCUCUCCUCUGUUCAUUAAUGAUUAUGGGAGGUUUUAUUCCCCCCAACAAAAGUGUUAAUUAGACAUCGUUCGGAACAGGGAUAUUACACAAAUGAAUUAAACUCAAACCAAUCAACAA
This 588-nucleotide small RNA is filed under the name Pan troglodytes (chimpanzee). Its description in RNAcentral is "sense intronic". Lineage: Eukaryota; Metazoa; Chordata; Mammalia; Primates; Hominidae. The record is from RNAcentral.